Molecule: small RNA, 89 nt
Filed under: Flavobacterium branchiophilum
Lineage: Bacteria; Pseudomonadati; Bacteroidota; Flavobacteriia; Flavobacteriales; Flavobacteriaceae
Description: Flavo-1 RNA
Rfam family: Flavo-1 RNA
Source: Rfam by way of RNAcentral
GUUUUGCGUGAGGGAUAGCAGUGGAAAUCCUUUUUUGUUUUUUUUCUUUAAAAAAACAAAAAAGAUUGCAACGAAUAGCCCGACCCGUA